Molecule: ribosomal RNA, 274 nt
Filed under: uncultured bacterium
Lineage: Bacteria
Description: partial 16S ribosomal RNA
Rfam family: Bacterial small subunit ribosomal RNA
Source: RNAcentral
AUACGGAGGGUGCAAGCGUUGUUCGGAAUCACUGGGCGUAAAGGGCGCGCAGGCGGUUUGGUAAGUCAGAUGUGAAAGCCCACGGCUCAACCGUGGAAGUGCAUUUGAAACUGUCAGACUUGAGUACUAGAGGGGAAAGUGGAAUUCCCGGUGUAGAGGUGAAAUUCGUAGAUAUCGGGAGGAAUACCGGUGGCGAAGGCGACUUUCUGGCUAGAUACUGACGCUGAGGCGCGAAAGCGUGGGGAGCAAACAGGAUUAGAAGCCCUAGUAGUCC